This 328-nucleotide ribosomal RNA is filed under the name uncultured eukaryote. RNAcentral's name for it is "partial 18S ribosomal RNA". It matches the Rfam family "Eukaryotic small subunit ribosomal RNA", at positions 1470 to 1796 of the family's 1831-position model. The record is from RNAcentral.
CCCUUAGAUGUUCUGGGCUGCACGCGCGCUACACUGACGGAGCCAGCGAGUAUAAACCUUGGCCGAGAGGUCUGGGAAAUCUUGUGAAACUCCGUCGUGCUGGGGAUAGAGCAUUGUAAUUAUUGCUCUUCAACGAGGAAUUCCUAGUAAGCGCAAGUCAUCAGCUUGCGUUGAUUACGUCCCUGCCCUUUGUACACACCGCCCGUCGCUACUACCGAUUGAAUGGCUUAGUGAGGCUUCCGGAUUGGUUUAGAGAAGGGGGCAACUCCAUCUUGGAACCGAGAAGCUAGUCAAACUUGGUCAUUUAGAGGAAGUAAAAGUCGUAACA